AUCGCUUCUUGGCCUUUUGGCUAAGAUCAAGUGUAGAACCAGUGUUGUUCCAUGUCCAGUUCUAACUCUUGCUUCCUGACCUGCAUACAGAUUUCUCAGGAGGCAGGUCAGGUGGUCUGGUAUUCCCAUCUCUUGAAGGAUUUU
This 144-nucleotide small nuclear RNA is filed under the name Moschus moschiferus (Siberian musk deer). Its description in RNAcentral is "U2 spliceosomal RNA (ENSMMSG00000014867.1)". It matches the Rfam family "U2 spliceosomal RNA". From Rfam's summary of the family: U2 is a small nuclear RNA (snRNA) component of the spliceosome (involved in pre-mRNA splicing). Complementary binding between U2 snRNA (in an area lying towards the 5' end but 3' to hairpin I) and the branchpoint sequence (BPS) of the intron results the bulging out of an unpaired adenosine, on the BPS, which initiates a nucleophilic attack at the intronic 5' splice site, thus starting the first of two transesterification reactions that mediate splicing. The record is from Rfam by way of RNAcentral. Lineage: Eukaryota; Metazoa; Chordata; Mammalia; Artiodactyla; Moschidae.